AUUGAACGCUGGCGGCAGGCCUAACACAUGCAAGUCGAGCGGAGCGGCGGACGGGUGGGUAAUGCCUAGGAGUCUACCUGGUAGUGGGGGAUAACGUCCGGAAACGGACGCUAAUACAGCAUACUUUCAAAUGAGCCUAGGUCGGAUUAGCUAGUUGUGGGGGUAAAGGCCUACCAAGGCGACGAUCCGUAACUGGUCUGAGAGGAUGAUAAGGCACACUGGAACUGAGACACGGUCCAGACUCCUACGGGAGGCAGCAGUGGGGAAUAUUGGACAAUGGGCGAAAGCCUGAUGCAGCCAUGCCGCGUGUGUGAAGAAGGUCUUCGGAUUGUAAAGCACUUUCAGCGGGGAGGCGUUACCCGCAGAAGAAGCACCGGCUAACUCCGUGCCAGCAGCCGCGGUAAUAC
This 407-nucleotide ribosomal RNA is filed under the name uncultured bacterium. RNAcentral's name for it is "partial 16S ribosomal RNA". It matches the Rfam family "Bacterial small subunit ribosomal RNA", at positions 30 to 526 of the family's 1533-position model. The record is from RNAcentral.